This 1038-nucleotide long non-coding RNA is filed under the name Anser cygnoides (Swan goose). RNAcentral describes it as "lncRNA (ENSACDG00005010589.1)". The record is from RNAcentral. Lineage: Eukaryota; Metazoa; Chordata; Aves; Anseriformes; Anatidae.
AUGAGUGCAGGCAGCUUUUGCCAACACCCUCAGCGCAUCUCCUGGUGCACACAGCGUAACUGCUUUUGGGGGGUGUGUGCAUUAUUUGCUCUUCUGGCCAAGCAGUCCCACUGGAGGCAGGCUUCAUCUGCCAACACCGCUCCACACCAGCAAAGCCUGGUUUCUUCCCUUGACCAGCAUGCACGCAGACACCUUGCCGCCUUGCUGCUCGCUUGCUUCUGGGGGCAGCGGAGCUGCCUGAAGGGCGCCGAGCACCCACCCGCACCCUGCCAACGCCACCUCAUGUCCCGUGGGGCUGGGGUCGUGCGGGCCUUGCAGGGGGGCAAGCACAGACGGAUGGCACCGGUGGGAGCAGGAGGAGGGCAGGGAGGUGUCUGGGAGCACAGCCGGCAAGAAGGCGCCGGGGAGCCGCGGGCUGGCUCCCGCACGGGGGGCCAACAAGUGCCCGCCUGGGGUGGCAGCCACGAAAUGGAGACGGGCUCUCACGGAGCCUCGUCCCGCCGGGCGCCCGCAGCAGGGAGGGGACACCCGGGGACACCGCGGGGCGAGCAGCAGCCGCCCGGCCGCCCCACGGCGGCCGCAGCAGGUGCAGCGCCCCCGGCCCACGCGUGCCCGUGGACGGGGGGGCUCCCCGACACAGGCCCCGGCACCCACCUCGGCUCGGCCCGGCGGCUNNNNNNNNNNNNNNNNNNNNCCCCCGCGCCGGUCGCUGCUACCUGCGGCGGCGCGGAGCCGAGCGGGGCUGGGCUGGGCCGGGCCGGGCUGCGGGGGGUGUGUGGGGGCUGCCCGCGCCCGCCUCGCCCGGCCCCCGCCCGCCUCGGCGCCUCCCCGCCGCGGGGUGGGCCCCGGCAGCCCCCUCCUCCUCCCGGCGGCGGGGGCGAGGGGCGAGGAGGAGGAGGAGGAGGAGGAGAGGGGGAGGGCCCGGUGCCCGCGUGUAACAAGUUUGGGUUGCCCCGCAGUAUGGCGGCCGCCCGGCUUUUAUUUUUAUUCCCCCCGUACGGCGACAGGCUAGGUCCAAUACCUACGAUUUGUGUUUAG